AGGUAACUACCCUUCGGACGGGCACAACCCCGGGAAACUGGGGCUAAUUCCCGAUAGGUACCCCCUUCUGGAAUGUGGGGAUAUCCAAAGCUCCGGCGCCGAAGGAUGGGCCUGCGGCCGAUUAGGUUGUUGGCGGGGUAACAGCCCACCAAGCCGACGAUCGGUACGGGCAGUGAGAGCUGUAGCCCGGAGAUGGGGACUGAGACAAGGCCCCAGGCCCUACGGGGCGCAGCAGGCGCGAAACCUUCACAAUGCACGAAAGUGUGAUGAGGGUACUCCGAGUGCGCAUACAUUGUAUGUGCUUUUCUGCAGCGUAAAUAGUUGCAGGAAUAAGGGCUGGGCAAGACCGGUGCCAGCCGCCGCGGUAACACCGGCAGCCCUAGUGGUGGCCGCUUUUAUUGGGCCUAAAGCGUCCGUAGCCGGACAGGCGAGUCUUUGGGUAAAUCCUACGUCUUAAGCGUGGGAAUUCUAAAGAUACUACCUGUCUUGAGGCCGGGAGAGGCUGGAGGUACUCCUGGGGUAGGGGUAAAAUCCUAUAAUCCUGGGGGGACCACCGAUGGCGAAGGCAUCCAGCUGGAACGGGCCUGACGGUGAGGGACGAAACCCAGGGGAGCGAGCCGGAUUAGAUACCCGGGUAGUCCUGGGCGUAAAUGAUGUGGGCUUGGUGUGAGCGCAUCGACGAGGUGCGCUUGUGCCGUAGGGAAGCCGUUAAGCCCACCGCCUGGGGAGUACGGUCGCAAGGCUGAAACUUAA
Molecule: ribosomal RNA, 753 nt
Filed under: uncultured archaeon
Lineage: Archaea
Description: bacterial SSU rRNA
Rfam family: Archaeal small subunit ribosomal RNA
Source: RNAcentral